GGGAUAUAUAAAGAGUACAUGCGGGCGCUCAGUUAGUGUCGCGCGUGGUGAGGGACGCCAUGUUCUCUGCACAACUCCCUGGGCCUAUCGGGCUGUGGAUCUCUUGUACAUGUGCAGCUCUCUAAGAUAUGUUCAGCUAAAUGUAAGUUCACAGCAUUAUCAGAUAUGCCAAAGAAAUUGCAAGUCGUCUUCAAAAGCCAUCCCAAGUGUUAUACAAAGAGUCUCUGCUGGAUAAAAAAAGAUGUAAGAGUUAUGGAUGAAAAAUUGGCCUUCUUAAAGGUGUGCCCUAACUUUGACAAUCUCAAUCCACCCUUCCAAAUAAUGCCAGAAUGAAGCCCAAGAAACACUGCUGUGAUCCAUUUGAGCAGUACCAAUUGUAGAUCUAGAAAACCACUCCCUUAGUUUUGGAUUCCAGUUGGAGAAACUGCCUUGUUUGUCACAGCGCCUCGCCUCCCCACCUCAUUGCUUCCUAUGCCAGCACAGGCCAAAAGAUGCGCAUGGGCAUGUGCCCACUGAAGAUGCAAUAGGGGAGGCCACUGUGCCAGAAGAGCAGUUACCAUGCCAGAUUGCACUACCCCUCUGCCUGGUCACAUGGGAGUGAAGCAGCACAGUCAUUGCUUCCUUUCUCUACAAAGGCCAACAGAUGCCAGAAGAGCAGGUGCCAAACUUGAAGAUGCCAUAGGAGUGGCCACUGUACCAGAAGAGCAGGUGCGAUGGUGGAAGAGCACCACCCCCUCUUCCUGAUCCCGUGGGAGUGAUGCCGAGUGUCUUUACUUCUGUUCCCAGAGCAGACCAGAAGAUGCUAUAGGCGUGGUCUCUGUGCCAGAAGACUGACUGAGUCUGAAGAUAGAAUUGCCCACUUUGCCAGAAGAUGUAAUCGUAGUGGCCACUGUGCAUCUCACUAACACUUAUAGUAUAUGUGCCACUUGUGAUACCAUUUGUGUUGUAACCCCCAUCCUUGGGCCCCAAAUGGUGGCUUUGGACUGCGGUACUGGCUUGCAUAAACCAUGCCUGCUUGUCCUUAAAGGGGAAGACUUCUAAAUAAACCUUCAGUAUAUAAAAGAUCGACCUAGGCUUGAUAAAGGGCUCAGAGGUGUCUGAAACAUUGCUUUGUUUGUGAAAUGCUUAUGUACUAAAUAAAUCUCUUUUCAC
Long non-coding RNA from Xenopus laevis (African clawed frog), 1152 nucleotides. RefSeq lists it as uncharacterized. The transcript is spliced from 8 exons. NCBI's taxonomy places the organism in Eukaryota, Metazoa, Chordata, Amphibia, Anura, Pipidae. The record is from RefSeq and is a predicted model, not a curated record.